Molecule: long non-coding RNA, 2949 nt
Filed under: Homo sapiens (human)
Lineage: Eukaryota; Metazoa; Chordata; Mammalia; Primates; Hominidae
Description: long independently transcribed non-coding RNA 1488, transcript variant 2 (LINC01488)
Source: RNAcentral
CUGCAGAGGUGCCUUUUGUCUGGCAAGGGGAGCACAGGUGGGGGAUGGGGCUGGCCCCAGCCAGGACAUUGUCUGUGUCACUCAGCAGCAGACUGACUGGCGCCUGCUGCCUGGCCAGCAAUGCUGACCCCUCUGCCUGCCCUAGCCAAUAUUUGAGGUCAGGAGGCAAGUACAGCAUCUGUGGGCAGACGACAGGGCCAAUGGGGUUCUCCUCCAGGCCUUCUGCUGCCACUCUGCUUCCUGAAGCCAGGAGGCCCAGUUCAGGUGCUCCGCCAGGGCUCCCGUGGUCCUGCCUGCAGGGGCGAGGUAGCAGGACCCCCUUGUUUAGCCUCUGCUGCAUCCUUAGCUGCAGCAGGGAGCCUGCCAGGCAGGUGUGCGACAGGCAGGACAGCGAUGUCUUCCUGCAUGACAGAAGGGGAAACUGAGGCCCAGAGUGAUGCAGCCCGGGACCUCCCAGGACAAGGUCCAAGCUCUUACCUCAGGUCCCUACACGGGUCAAGAUGGGAGCCGCCUUAGAGAUCUCUAUUCUGCAGAGGAGGAAACUGAGGCACAGACAUGGAUGGAGGGAAUUUGGCCAAGGCCCUUUGGCCUUCUGGGCCAGGACUCCAGCCCCAGCCCAGUGGCAGGAAGAGGGUCUCAUGCCACCCCUCAACCCUGAUAAUCCUGCAUGCACGGCACAGGCCUCGAACCUCCUCUCCCCUGGCCUGGUCCCACCCUAGUGGGCCCGGCAGUGGGGCCUUCCAUCCUGCCUCUGUCACUGCCACAAAAGAACAUCAUGAUGCAUCCCAGGCCUCUGUCCUUCAGGCCAUGGGGGGCUUCCCUGAGCACAGCCACUCACCACAUGCCUGAGUCUGGAUCUCAUGCGAGAACUGGCCUGGACCCCUGGACCAGGAUACAAACUCAUCUGGAAGCAUUAAAACAAUGGAAGCAGGUGAGAGCAGAGAGAUCCCGAGCGCAGGUGAGGUGGGGUCCCUGAGGCGGGCUCAAAAGCUGCUUCCCAAGGCAGGGGGGCCCCUAUGUGCCCUCUGAGAGCACAGCCUGCAGACAGAGUCCAGACGUCUCAGGCAGGCCUUUGAGGCCUUCGUGUCAAAGCCCAGUUCUACCACAUCCUAGGGUUAUACUUUCGGCCUGGUGGGAGUCGCUGGUCCCCAGUUGACAGUGUCAUUGGGAAAGUCCAGUGGUAGACCCCGGCACAGCAGGCGCUCAGCAGUGCAGCAGUAUCAUUGCUUAGCCCCACCUCCCUUUCCAGACUCUGCACCCCUCCUCAGGCUCAGAGCAAGGGCCUGCCCCUGCCCCUCCACCGCCCCCUCCUCACUUACCCCUGCGACUCUGCCCAAGCAAGACCUCCCCCUGGAAUUCAUUCAUUUAUCAACUCAUUAUGCAGCCAGCCAGCCAUCGUUUCUUUUUUAUCCACUUUUUCUGAGGGCCUGCUGUGCGCCAGCUGCUGGAGACAUGAAGACAUCGAAGACCCCAGGCCUUGACCUCCAAGAGCCCCCAGUUUGGUGGAAGAAACAAACAAGGAGACUGCAAAACACACCCUGUGAUGGGGAGGGUUGAGGUGGCCAGUGGGAGAGGCGAGCUGGCAGGGCUCAGUGGUGAGGUGAAGGUGUGGGAGCAGGGACACAGCAUGAAGGAGUAGAUGGCCAGGUUGAGCUUUGCAGGCUCCAGGGGGAGGAUAAAGAGCUGACACCUGGAACGUGCUUGGAACAGCAGGUGCUCGGUCAGUGCAGCCACGACCAUCCCGUCCUGCAUCCCCACCAUGAACUUGGACCUUCUGGAAGGACCUUGCUUAUCCCAGCAUCCACACAUCCUUGACCAGACCUGGUCAACAUUUGCUUAGAACCGCCUGGCUGCUGGGAUGAGAAGAGACUGGAGAGAGACCACGAUGGAAGCCAGGAGGCCAACGAGGAGUUGGGGUAGUCCUCCAGGGAGACAUGAUGUGGCUUCAGCCCCAGUGGUGAUGGCGGGGUAGAGCCAGCAGGGUUCUGAACUGAGUGGAUGUGAAAUGAGGGAAAGAGGGAUGCUGCGGUCGGCAGAAUCGUGCCUCCCGCAAAGAUGCCCCAUCCUAACCCGUCACCCUUGACAGUGAGACCUCCACCACAAAGGGGACUUUGCAGGCAUGAAGGUUAAGGACCCUGAGAGGAGGAGAUGGCCCUGGACUGUCUGGCGGGCCCAGCAUCAUCACAAGGGUGCUUAUAAGUGGAGGAGGAGGCAGGGGGAGCCGAGCAGAUGUGAGGAUAGAAGCAGAGGUCGGAGGGACGUGCUGUUGGCUUGAGAUGGAGGAGGACCUAUGAGCCAAGGAGCAUGGGCGGCCUCUGGAAGCCAGAAAGGGCAAGGCCUCUUCCCGGAGCCUCCAGCAGAACCCAGCCCCGCUGCCACCUCGACUGCAGAACGGUGACACCGUGUCCGAUUCCCGACCUCCAGAACCGUGAGAUAACACGUGUGCUGUUUUAAGCCACUGCAAUUGUGGUAUUUGUCACAGCAGCCAUAGGAAACUGUACGGGGGUUAAAGAGGACCUGCUGACCUCUGAGCUCACACUGAAGCCUCCUGGAAUGCUGUGGGUUGUGAGCUGGGAUGAGAACGCAGCAUGGAGAUGAAAGACGCAUCCACCCAGGAAGGCCCACUGGCAUCGCAAUCUCAGGGAAGAUUCCCAGGCUGAAAAAAGAGAAAGUGGCUGGGGUGGCACUGAAUGCCCCACGUCAAAGAAAUGGCACCCAAGCCGUCCGUCAGUCCCUCACCUGCCACACAGACAGCACCUUGGACCCAGCAAGAUGUCACUCACCACAUUGAUGCUGUCCACAGGCAUCGCCUUGCUUUUGCAGCUCUGUGUGAGAUUUGUCAGCUUGGUUUGGGUCUGGGGCUGUAUUAGAGCUGUCAGCCUAGGAGCCUACCCUAGUUUUGUGUCUGCACUAUUUCCAAAGCACUGGAAUAAAAGGCAUUUUAACCAA